RNAcentral lists this ribosomal RNA (603 nucleotides) under uncultured bacterium. Its description in RNAcentral is "bacterial SSU rRNA". It matches the Rfam family "Bacterial small subunit ribosomal RNA", at positions 24 to 667 of the family's 1533-position model. The record is from RNAcentral.
UCAGGAUGAACGCUGGCGGUAUGCGUAACACAUGCAAGUCGAACGAAGUUUUUCGGAACUUAGUGGCGGACGGGUGAGUAACGCGUGAGAAUCUGCCUUAAGGAUUGGGACAACAGUGGGAAACCGCUGCUAAUACCAAAUAUGCCUUUUAGUGAAACGGGUAAGACCGCCUUAAGAUGAGCUCGCGUCUGAUUAGCUAGUAGGUGUGGUAAGAGCGCACCUAGGCGACGAUCAGUAGCUGGUCUGAGAGGACGACCAGCCACACUGGGACUGAGACACGGCCCAGACUCCUACGGGAGGCAGCAGUGAGGAAUUUUCCGCAAUGGGCGAAAGCCUGACGGAGCAAUACCGCGUGAGGGAGGAAGGUUCUUGGAUUGUAAACCUCUUUUCUCAGAGAAGAAUAAUGACGGUAUCUGAGGAAUAAGCAUCGGCUAACUCCGUGCCAGCAGCCGCGGUAAUACGGAGGAUGCAAGCGUUAUCCCGGAAUGAUUGGGCGUAAAGGGUCUGUAGGUGGUUGUUCAAGUCUGCUGUUAAAGCGUCUGGCUUAACCAGAUAAAGGCGGUGGAAACUGAACGACUAGAGUGCGGUAGGGGUAGAGGGAAU